GAUGAAGAACGCAGCGAAAUGCGAUAGGUAAUGUGAAUUGCAGAAUUCAGUGAAUCAUCGAAUCUUUGAACGCACAUUGCGCCCAUUAGUAUUCUAGUGGGCAUGCCUGUUCGAGCGUCAUUAAGUCCACUUAAGCCCUGCUUAGUGUUGGGAGACUGCUCCAGCGGUGCUACCCUGUAGCUACCCUGCAGCUCCUCAAAGACAGCGGCGGAGUUGUGGUAUCCUCUGAGCUUAGUAACUUGUUCUAGCUUUCGAGUACACCACUUCCCCUGCCGUAAAACCCUUAAUUUUUAAUGGUUGACCUCGGAUCAGGUAGGAAUACCCGCUGAACUUAAGCAUAUCAAUAGCGGAGGA
This 354-nucleotide unclassified non-coding RNA is filed under the name soil metagenome. RNAcentral describes it as "partial contains 5.8S ribosomal RNA, internal transcribed spacer 2, and large subunit ribosomal RNA". The stretch from base 1 to 120 matches the Rfam family "5.8S ribosomal RNA", at positions 35 to 154 of the family's 154-position model. The record is from RNAcentral.